Molecule: ribosomal RNA, 520 nt
Filed under: uncultured Entrophospora
Lineage: Eukaryota; Fungi; Glomeromycota; Glomeromycetes; Entrophosporales; Entrophosporaceae
Description: SSU rRNA
Rfam family: Eukaryotic small subunit ribosomal RNA
Source: RNAcentral
AGCAGCCGCGGUAAUUCCAGCUCCAAUAGCGUAUAUUAAAGUUGUUGCAGUUAAAGCUCGUAGUUGAAUUUCGGGAUUGGCGCAUCGGUCGUGCCUCACGGGGUAUGAACUGGUGCAGUCAAUUUCUCACCUUCUGGAGAACCGCGAUGUCCUUAAUUGGAUGCCGCGGGGAACCAGGACCUUUACUUUGAAAAAUUAGAGUGUUUAAAGCAGGCAUUUUUGCUUGAAUACAUUAGCAUGGAAUAAUAAGAUAGGACGGCAUGGUUCUAUUUUGUUGGUUUCUAGGACCACCGUAAUGAUUAAUAGGGAUAGUUGGGGGCAUUAGUAUUCAAUUGUCAGAGGUGAAAUUCUUGGAUUUAUUGAAGACUAACUACUGCGAAAGCAUUUGCCAAGGAUGUUUUCAUUAAUCAAGAACGAAAGUUAGGGGAUCGAAGACGAUCAGAUACCGUCGUAGUCUUAACCAUAAACUAUGCCGACUAGGGAUCAGACGAUGUUAAUUUUUAAUGUACUGUUUGGCUAC